Non-coding RNA from Macrostomum lignano, 2563 nucleotides. NCBI's taxonomy places the organism in Eukaryota, Metazoa, Platyhelminthes, Macrostomidae. The record is from Rfam.
UGACCUCGGAUCAGACGUGAUUACCGCUGAAUUUAAGCAUAUUAUUAAGCGGAGGAAAAGAAACUAACAAGGAUUCCCCUAGUAACGGCGAGUGAACGGGGAAGAGCCCAACACCGAAUCCCUUGGCGCAAGUCAACGGGAAAUGUGGUGUUAAGGUAGCCCUUCGUGUCAGUCUAGGCGUCUCAAGUCCACCUGAUUGUGGCUCAAGCCCAGAGAGGGUGUAAGGCCCGUAGAGACGCUCCGACUGAUUCCUGGGGUUUACCUACGAGUCGGCUUGUUUGGGAAUGCAGGCCAAAGCGGGUGGUAAACUCCAUCCAAGGCUAAAUACUGGCACGAGUCCGAUAGCGGACAAGUACCGUGAGGGAAAGUUGAAAAGAACUUUGAAGAGAGAGUUCAAUAGUACGUGAAACCGCUUAGAGGCAAACGGAUGGUGCUCAUACUGGCCUGAGGAAUUCAACUGUGACGGUGGCUGGACGAGCUGGCGUUCCGAUCUCUCUUUUGGGACGGGCGUCGGUUUGGCUAUCAGCUCUGACAUGGUGCACUUUCCUUGGUGCCUCCGCCACGACCGACGACACUGGCUACCCGCGGCUGGGGUAAGGUGACAAACUGCUUCGGCAAUUUGUGUUAUAGACCCCGGCGUCGGACAUGGUUUGGCCAGGACGUCGAGCUUGCGGCGCCCGCUCCUUGUGGGCUCGCAUGUUGGCUAGCUUGGCUGCGCGAUGCUUGCACUGGACAACCAGUACAGGUGACGGUUGUGGUCUUGUCUCUAGUUGGCCUCUGCGAGUUUGGCGCCUAUAGUCUGUGGUGUACUUGUGGGUAGACUAUCCGACCCGUCUUGAAACACGGACCAAGGAGUCUAACAUGUGCGCGAGUCAUGGGGAUUCUACGAAACCAAAGGCGCAGUGAAAGUAAAGGCCUGCUUCUCGUAGGCUGAGGUGGGAUCUCGUGCAUCGCGAUUGGCGAGCGCACCACCGGCCCGUCCUAUCUGUCUCUGUCAGUGGGGCGGCGCAAGAGCGUACACGUUGGGACCCGAAAGAUGGUGAACUAUGCUUGCGCAGCUCGAAGUCAGUGGAAACACUGAUGGAGGAGCGCAGCGUUUCUGACGUGCAAAUCGAUCGUCAAACGUGAGUAUAGGGGCGAAAGACUAAUCGAACCAUCUAGUAGCUGGUUCCCUCCGAAGUUUCCCUCAGGAUAGCUGGCACUCGGGAAACAGUUUUAUCCGGUAAAGCGAAUGAUUAGAGGCAUUGGGGUCGAAACGACCUCGACCUAUUCUCAAACUUUAAAAUGGGUAAGAUGCUCGUCUCGCUUAAUUGGAGGCGGGCUUCACCUCUCUAACGUGAAUGUGAGUGCCCAGUGGGCCAUUUUUGGUAAGCAGAACUGGCGCUGUGGGAUGAACCAAACGCGCGGUUAAGGCGCCCAAUGCGGACGCUCAUGAGACAACCACAAAAGGUGUUGGUCGAUACUGACAGCAGGACGGUGGCCAUGGAAGUCGGAACCCGCUAAGGAGUGUGUAACAACUCACACCUGCCGAAUCAACCAGCCCUGAAAAUGGAUGGCGCUGGAGCGUCGGGCCUAUACCGUGCCGUUGGGGCGAAGCAGACAAAUAAUCUGUGUGGAUGUCCCAACGAGUAGGAGGGUCGCCGUGGUGAGCGCAGAAGGUGCGGCCGUGAGGCCGGCUGGAGCCGCCACGGGCGCAGAUCUUGGUGGUAGUAGCAAUUACUCAAGUGAGAACCUUGAGGACUGAAGUGGAGAAGGGUUCCAUGUGAACAGCAGUUGAACAUGGGUCAGGCGGUCCUAAGCGAUCGGGUAACUCCGUACCUAGACGAGGGUGACAACUAUCACUUAUAAUUGUGACGUGUUAUAGCCCUCCGGAGCGAAAGGGAAUCGUGUUAAUAUUCACGACCCUUACCGUGGAGAUCGCCCCUUUCGGGGGGCAAGUGCGGUAACGCAAACGAACACAGAGACGUCGGCUGGAGCCCCGGGAAGAGUUCUCUUUUCUUUGUAAGGAGCGUACCCCCUGGAAUCGGCUUGUCCGGAGAUAGGGGGCGUGGCUUCCGUAAAGCAGCGCGGGUCUUGCGCUGUCCGGUGCACUCUAGUCGGCCCUUGAAAAUCUGUGGGAGACAGUGUGAUUUUCACGGUAGGCCGUACCCAUAUCCGCAGCAGGUCUCCAAGGUGAACAGCCUCUAGUCUAGAACAAUGUAGGUAAGGGAAGUCGGCAAAAUGGAUCCGUAACUUCGGGAAAAGGAUUGGCUCUGAGGGCUGGGUCGGAUGGGCUGGCGUAAGAAGCUGUUCCGGUUUUGGUGAGGACUGGGCGAGGCUUUCGGGCUUUACUCGGACAUGCCGAGACCAGGCAGUAGACGACGUCAGCUGUGCUUGUCGUGUUUCGGCGCGGCAGCUUCGUCCGGCAACAAACAGCCAACUCAGAACUGGCACGGACUAGGGGGGAAUCCGACUGUCUAAUUAAAACAAAGCAUUGCGAUGGCUGCUGUUUGCUCGGUCGGUGGUGAAACGCAAUGUGAUUUCUGCCCGUUGCUCUGAAUGUCAAAGUGAAGAAAUUCAAUCA